AACCCCUUACACUUUAGGGCCUCCAGGGUCUCACCUUUAGGAUUCGUGAGAGACACAUCAGAGCCCUGGGCACUGUCGCUGCCUGGGGUAGA
Molecule: non-coding RNA, 92 nt
Organism: Ceratotherium simum simum (southern white rhinoceros)
Lineage: Eukaryota; Metazoa; Chordata; Mammalia; Perissodactyla; Rhinocerotidae
Source: RefSeq, a predicted model, not a curated record